RNAcentral lists this ribosomal RNA (496 nucleotides) under uncultured bacterium. RNAcentral's name for it is "partial 16S ribosomal RNA". It matches the Rfam family "Bacterial small subunit ribosomal RNA", at positions 28 to 507 of the family's 1533-position model. The record is from RNAcentral.
GACGAACGCUGGCGGCGUGCCUAAUACAUGCAAGUUGAGCGCUGAAGGUUGGUACUUGUACCAACUGGAUGAGCAGCGAACGGGUGAGUAACGCGUGGGGAAUCUGCCUUUGAGCGGGGGACAACAUUUGGAAACGAAUGCUAUACCGCAUAAAAACUUUAAACACAAGUUUUAAGUUUGAAAGAUGCAAUUGCAUCACUCAAAGAUGAUCCCGCGUUGUAUUAGCUAGUUGGUGAGGUAAAGGCUCACCAAGGCGAUGAUACAUAGCCGACCUGAGAGGGUGAUCGGCCACAUUGGGACUGAGACACGGCCCAAACUCCUACGGGAGGCAGCAGUAGGGAAUCUUCGGCAAUGGACGAAAGUCUGACCGAGCAACGCCGCGUGAGUGAAGAAGGGUUUCGGAUCGUAAAACUCUGUUGGUAGAGAAGAACGUUGGUGAGAGUGGAAAGCUCAUCAAGUGACGGUAACUACCCAGAAAGGGACGGCUAACUACGUG